This 87-nucleotide transfer RNA is filed under the name Staphylococcus xylosus. RNAcentral describes it as "tRNA-Ser". It matches the Rfam family "tRNA". From Rfam's summary of the family: Transfer RNA (tRNA) molecules are approximately 80 nucleotides in length. Their secondary structure includes four short double-helical elements and three loops (D, anti-codon, and T loops). Further hydrogen bonds mediate the characteristic L-shaped molecular structure. tRNAs have two regions of fundamental functional importance: the anti-codon, which is responsible for specific mRNA codon recognition, and the 3' end, to which the tRNAs corresponding amino acid is attached (by aminoacyl-tRNA synthetases). tRNAs cope with the degeneracy of the genetic code in two manners: having more than one tRNA (with a specific anti-codon) for a particular amino acid; and 'wobble' base-pairing, i.e. permitting non-standard base-pairing at the 3rd anti-codon position. Lineage: Bacteria; Bacillati; Bacillota; Bacilli; Caryophanales; Staphylococcaceae. The record is from RNAcentral.
GGAGAGUUGUCCGAGUUGGCCGAAGGAGCACGCCUGGAAAGUGUGUAGGCGCCACAAGCGUCUCGAGGUUCGAAUCCUCACUCUCCG